UUUAAUGAUGAGAUAAUUUGC
Molecule: non-coding RNA, 21 nt
Filed under: Sclerotinia sclerotiorum
Lineage: Eukaryota; Fungi; Ascomycota; Leotiomycetes; Helotiales; Sclerotiniaceae
Source: RNAcentral